Molecule: long non-coding RNA, 273 nt
Organism: Arabidopsis thaliana (thale cress)
Lineage: Eukaryota; Viridiplantae; Streptophyta; Magnoliopsida; Brassicales; Brassicaceae
Product: other RNA
Exons: 1
Source: RefSeq
GUUGCCUUCGUCACGCUAAGUAUUAUUUUAUCUAAAGUGAAACUAUAGAUUAGGAAAAUUCGGAAAUUUUACUAUUUUCUUCUACAAUUUCAUGAAAAUAGAAAAAUAUUUCUACUAUUUUGCCUCGUUAAAAAGGGGAAAAAAAGACAACAAAAAAUUAGUUGAAUCGUAAUGCACGUGGCUUGGGUUGGCAUCUGGCAAGUCGCAUGAUAAAGAUAAAGCGUUUAGAAGUUAAAACGCCAAAAUAAUAUUUGAAAUUGUGGUUUGUGUUGG